Molecule: non-coding RNA, 73 nt
Organism: Stegodyphus mimosarum
Lineage: Eukaryota; Metazoa; Arthropoda; Arachnida; Araneae; Eresidae
Source: Rfam
GCCUUCGUGGUGUAAUGGUCAGCACACUGAGCCGGUAUUUCAGAGGUCCGCGGUUCGAUUCCCGGCGAAGGUA